AUGUUAAUAAUAACGAGAACGACACAACCAAACACCCCUCUUCUCCCUGCUCUUUCUUUCUCUGGUGGUGAUGGGGGUACCCGGGGCCGGGCUGUGCUCCCCCCAGGGCCCCGUACUGGCCUUGGGGACCAGUUAUCCCCCCCCCUCUGUGCCCAGGGGGUGCUCAGCCGGGCUGCGGGCUGUAUUUCGGAGAAGGACAUGACUAUUGGUGCCACCUGGCUCCAGCAUUUCUGUAGGGUCAGACCGUUUUCCUCUGCUGCGGGGCAUAAACGUGUGUGGCAGGGAGCACGGGGUUGGGAGCUGGAGCCCCCAGAGCGGUCCUGGUGUCCCCCCCCAAAUUUUUUUGCCCCCUCUCUGCCUGCAAACCUCACAGCAGGCAGAGCCAGGGCUGCGUGGGGCAUCCCGGUAGCGUGGGGUGGGGACGCGCUCUGGGACUGGGGGUCCUUGGCCCCCUGCAGGUCCUGGGGGGGGAGCCUGGUGCCCCAGGAGCUGCGUUUUGGGUUGGAAGUGGGGCACGGGGGCCCUCGGCACAGCAGCAGGAGGGAGGGCCAGGACCAGCAGGAUUUGGGGGGGCGCUUCUUUGCCCCCCUGUGUCACCUCCGUGAUGUUCCCGAGGUGCUCCGUGACCCUGCAGUGUGCGCCCCCGGGGUGCACCCCUAUUUGGGAUCACCCCGACCUCUCCUCUCUGCCCACUGCAGCCUCAGCACCGGGCAGCUGCAGAGAUGGGGGGGUUCCCCCAUGACCCCCCCACACCACCCAGGGGAUGCUGAGACCCGUGGGCUCACCCCGCUGGGGACCAUGACAGGGGGUCACCGGCAUCCUCCCCUCAGCUUCCCCUGCACCAAAUUCCUUCAAAAAAUGAGACGAAACAAACAAAAAAGCUGCAAAAUCCUCCCCAGCUCGCCGUGCCGUGCCGUGCCGGCCUUCGCUAGGUGUCUCCACUCUCCCCCUGUUUCUCCCUGCGCCAGCAGCCCCGCUCGCUCCAUCGCCGCUGCCAAAAUCGCAGGCGCACAACCCAAAUUUCAGCCUCCCUGCUCGCCGACCCCAGUCCCCACCAAAGAGGGGCCAAGCCUGGGGGCGGGGUUCCCCACUCCCUUUUUUUUCUUGUAUUUUUUUUUCUUUUUUUUUUUCUUUUUUUUCCCAGCUUUUGGAUUUUUAAGUUAUUGUUUUAGCCGAGUUUACAGCCGCCGCGUUGCUGCCCUGCCCCGCGGGAGCACGGAGGGGUGGGUGGGCACCUCCGUGGCAUUCUGUGCCCCCCGACCCCCCCCCCCCAGACCCCUCCCCAUUGCAGCUCUGACAGCCCCGAGUGUUUCACCCCCAGCAGGACUCCCUGCAUCCAUCCGGACCUUUUUCCUCCCAUCUUCGGGGGAUUUUUUUUUCGCUUUAUCCAUAGAAAUGCUGGGGGUCCUUCCCCCCUCUCCCACCCCUCCAUCCCUUUUUGCUGGACUUUUUGAUGCUGCUGUCGGGGAUGCAGGGAACAGCGGGGUCCUGAUCCCAGCCCUAUGGGGCCGGGGGCACCCAGCCCUGCCAGGGGGGUGCCAGGCAGGAGUGGGGGUGCCCAAAUGUGCCCCCCCCAGACACCCUGGAGCCGUUUUGCUGGUGGCUCCUGCCCGGCAUCCACCUGGC
This 1626-nucleotide long non-coding RNA is filed under the name Anas platyrhynchos platyrhynchos (common mallard). Its description in RNAcentral is "lncRNA (ENSAPLG00000023213.1)". The record is from RNAcentral. Lineage: Eukaryota; Metazoa; Chordata; Aves; Anseriformes; Anatidae.